GUUUGAUCAUGGCUCAGAUUGAACGCUGGCGGCAGGCCUAACACAUGCAAGUCGAACGGUAACAGGAAGCAGCUUGCUGUUUCGCUGACGAGUGGCGGACGGGGGAGUAAUGUCUGGGAAACUGCCUGAUGGAGGGGGAUAACUACUGGAAACGGUAGCUAAUACCGCAUAACGUCGCAAGACCAAAGAGGGGGACCUUCGGGCCUCUUGCCAUCGGAUGUGCCCAGAUGGGAUUAGCUAGUAGGUGGGGUAACGGCUCACCUAGGCGACGAUCCCUAGCUGGUCUGAGAGGAUGACCAGCCACACUGGAACUG
This 314-nucleotide ribosomal RNA is filed under the name Escherichia coli. Its description in RNAcentral is "bacterial SSU rRNA". It matches the Rfam family "Bacterial small subunit ribosomal RNA", at positions 11 to 321 of the family's 1533-position model. The record is from RNAcentral. Lineage: Bacteria; Pseudomonadati; Pseudomonadota; Gammaproteobacteria; Enterobacterales; Enterobacteriaceae.